UACGUAGGGUGCAGGCGUUAAUCGGAAUUACUGGGCGUAAAGCGUGCGCAGGCGGUUUCUUAAGUCAGAUGUGAAAGCCCCGGACUUAACCUGGGAACUGCGUUUGAAACUGGGAGACUUGAGUGUGGCAGAGGGGGGUGGAAUUCCACGUGUAGCAGUGAAAUGCGUAGAUAUGUGGAGGAACACCAAUGGCGAAGGCAGCCCCCUGGGUCAACACUGACGCUCAUGCACGAAAGCGUGGGGAGCAAACAGG
Molecule: ribosomal RNA, 253 nt
Filed under: uncultured bacterium
Lineage: Bacteria
Description: partial 16S ribosomal RNA
Rfam family: Bacterial small subunit ribosomal RNA
Source: RNAcentral